UCUGGUUGAUCCUGCCAGUAGUCAUAUGCUUGUCUCAAAGAUUAAGCCAUGCAUGUCUCAGUACAAGCCAUAUUAAGGUGAAACCGCGAAAGGCUCAUUAUAUCAGUUAUGGUUCCUUAGAUCGUACCCACAUUUACUUGGAUAACUGUGGUAAUUCUAGAGCUAAUACAUGCAAACAGAGUUCUGACCAGAGAUGGAAGGAAUGCUUUUAUUAGAUCAAAACCAAUCGGUAUUUAUUAUAUGGGUUUAUAUUUUUAUUCGAUAUUUUGAUUUAUAUUUAUAUUGAUAACUUUUGUUUGAUAUAUUUAAAUAUAAUGAUAAUUGAGAAUUGAAUAUAUAUUACUCAUUAAUAUAUUAUAUAUGUACCGUAUUAUUUGGUGACUCUGAAUAACUUUUAGCUGAUCGCACGGUCUUUAUUUAGUACCGGCGACGUAUCUUUCAAAUGUCUGCCUUAUCAACUGUCGAUGGUAGGUUCUGUGCCUACCAUGGUUGUAACGGGUAACGGGGAAUCAGGGUUCGAUUCCGGAGAGGGAGCCUGAGAAACGGCUACCACAUCCAAGGAAGGCAGCAGGCGCGCAAAUUACCCACUCCCAGCACGGGGAGGUAGUGACGAAAAAUAACGAUACGGGACUCAUCCGAGGCCCCGUAAUCGGAAUGAGUACACUUUAAAUCCUUUAACGAGGAUCCAUUGGAGGGCAAGUCUGGUGCCAGCGGCCGCGGUAAUUCCAGCUCCAAUAGCGUAUAUUAAAGUUGUUGCGGUUAAAAAGCUCGUAGUCGAAUUUGUGUUCUGCACUGUUGGUUCACCGCUCGCGGUGUUUAACUGACAUGUUUUGCAGAACGUCCUACCGGUGGGUGGUAAUCUAUAUAAUAAUAAAUAACAUCAAAAAAAAAAAAAAAAAAUUCAUAAUUAUAUGAAUAAUAUAAACAGAACAAAAACAAAACAAAACAAAACAAAAAAAAACACCCAAUAGAAAAAUAUCCCGUCACGGUGCACUUAAUUGUGUGUCGAGGUGGGCCGGUACGUUUACUUUGAACAAAUUAGAGUGCUUAAGGCAGGCUAAAAAUUUCCGCCUGAAUAUUGUGUGCAUGGAAUAAUAGAAUAGGACCUCGGUUCUAUUUUGUUGGUUUUCGGAACACCGAGGUAAUGAUUAAUACGGACAGAUGGGGGCAUUCGUAUUGCGACGUUAGAGGUGAAAUUCUUGGAUCGUCGCAAGACGAACAGAAGCGAAAGCAUUUGCCAAAAAUGUUUUGAUUGAUCAAGAACGAAAGUUAGAGGUUCGAAGGCGAUCAGAUACCGCCCUAGUUCUAACCAUAAACGAUGCCAGCUAGCGAUCCGCCAAAGUUCCUCCGAUGACUUGGCGGGCAGCUUCCGGGAAACCAAAGCUUUUGGGUUCCGGGGGAAGUAUGGUUGCAAAGCUGAAACUUAAAGGAAUUGACGGAAGGGCACCACCAGGAGUGGAGCCUGCGGCUUAAUUUGACUCAACACGGGAAACCUCACCAGGCCCGGACACCGGAAGGAUUGACAGAUUGAGAGCUCUUUCUUGAUUCGGUGGGUGGUGGUGCAUGGCCGUUCUUAGUUGGUGGAGCGAUUUGUCUGGUUAAUUCCGAUAACGAACGAGACUCUAGCCUGCUAAAUAGACGUACUAUUCAAAUACCAGCAUCUCAAGGCCUUAAUAUCUAUAUUCUAUACUUUAUUAUAUAUAUUUUAUAUAUUUUUUAUAUUUUGCGAAUAAUAUUAAUUUGUAUUAUAUAUUUUAUGUUCUUCACGGGACAUUUUAUAUAUGAUAUCGGUUAUAUUAUUUUCAUAUAUAAAUAUUUAUUUAUUAUCAAUUUAUUAUAAAUAAUAGUUUUUAUGGUAUGGUUUUUACUGCUGGCGUACAAUUAAUUCUUCUUAGAGGGACAGGCGGCUUCUAGCCGCACGAGAUUGAGCAAUAACAGGUCUGUGAUGCCCUUAGAUGUUCUGGGCCGCACGCGCGCUACACUGAAGGAAUCAACGUGUCUUCCCUGGCCGAAAGGUCCGGGUAACCCGAUGAACCUCCUUCGUGCUAGGGAUUGGGGCUUGCAAUUAUUCCCCAUGAACGAGGAAUUCCCAGUAAGCGCGAGUCAUAAGCUCGCGUUGAUUACGUCCCUGCCCUUUGUACACACCGCCCGUCGCUACUACCGAUUGAAUGAUUUAGUGAGGUCUUCAGACCGAUACGCGGUAAAUGAAAUAUAAAUAAUAUUUAUAUUUUUGCCGAUGAUGUUGGAAAGAUGACCAAACUUGAUCAUUUAGAGGAAGUAAA
This 2282-nucleotide ribosomal RNA is filed under the name Nallachius americanus. Its description in RNAcentral is "SSU rRNA". It matches the Rfam family "Eukaryotic small subunit ribosomal RNA". The record is from RNAcentral. Lineage: Eukaryota; Metazoa; Arthropoda; Insecta; Neuroptera; Dilaridae.